This 377-nucleotide ribosomal RNA is filed under the name uncultured bacterium. RNAcentral's name for it is "bacterial SSU rRNA". It matches the Rfam family "Bacterial small subunit ribosomal RNA", at positions 521 to 896 of the family's 1533-position model. The record is from RNAcentral.
UAAUACGAAGGGGGCAAGCGUUGUUCGGAAUUACUGGGCGUAAAGGGCGCGUAGGCGGCUUAUCAAGUCAGGCGUGAAAUUCCCGGGCUCAACCUGGGGGCUGCGCUUGAUACUGAUGAGCUUGAAUGCGGGAGAGGAUAGUGGAAUUCCCAGUGUAGAGGUGAAAUUCGUAGAUAUUGGGAAGAACACCGGUGGCGAAGGCGGCUAUCUGGCCCGUAAUUGACGCUGAGGCGCGAAAGCGUGGGGAGCAAACAGGAUUAGAUACCCUGGUAGUCCACGCCGUAAACGAUGGGUACUAGGUGCCUGGGGGAGCGACCCUCUGGGUGCCGGCGCUAACGCAGGAAGUACCCCGCCUGGGGAGUACGACCGCAAGGUUG